Molecule: ribosomal RNA, 484 nt
Filed under: uncultured bacterium
Lineage: Bacteria
Description: partial 16S ribosomal RNA
Rfam family: Bacterial small subunit ribosomal RNA
Source: RNAcentral
GACGAACGCUGGCGGCGUGCUUAACACAUGCAAGUCGAACGAUGAAGCUGGAGCUUGCUCCGGUGGAUUAGUGGCGAACGGGUGAGUAACACGUGAGCAAUCUGCCCUUCACUCUGGGAUAACUGCGGGAAACUGUAGCUAAUACCGGAUACGAGGCUUGGAGGCAUCUCCAGGUCUGGAAAGAAUUUCGGUGAGAGGAUGAGCCCGCGGCCUAUCAGCUUGUUGGUGGGGUAAUGGCUCACCAAGGCGACGACGGGUAGCCGGCCUGAGAGGGUGACCGGCUCCACGGGGACUGAGAGACGGCCCAGACUCCUACGGGAGGCAGCAGGGGGGAAUAUUGCACAAUGGGCGAAAGCCUGAUGCAGCAACGCCGCGUGAGGGAUGAAGGCCUUCGGGUUGUAAACCUCUUUUAGCAGGGAAGAAGCGAAAGUGACGGUACCUGCAGAAAAAGCACCGGCUAACUACGUGCCAGCCGCCGCCGUAA